GUGGGGAAUAUUGGACAAUGGGCGAAAGCCUGAUCCAGCCAUGCCGCGUGUGUGAAGAAGGUCUUCGGAUUGUAAAGCACUUUAAGUUGGGAGGAAGGGCAGUAAUUUAAUACCUUGCUGUUUUGACGUUACCAACAGAAUAAGCACCGUCUAACUUCGUGCCAGCAGCCGCGGUAAUACGAAGGGUGCAAGCGUUAAUCGGAAUUACUGGGCGUAAAGCGCGCGUAGGUGGUUUUGUAAGUUGGAGGUGAAAUCCCCGGGCUCAACCUGGGAACUGCCUCCAAAACUGCAUGACUAGAGUACGGUAGAGGGUAGUGGAAUUUCCUGUGUAGCGGUGAAAUGCGUAGAUAUAGGAAGGAACACCAGUGGCGAAGGCGACUACCUGGACUGAUACUGACACUGAGGUGCGAAAGCGUGGGGAGCAAACAGGAUUAGAUACCCUAGUAGUCC
This 450-nucleotide ribosomal RNA is filed under the name uncultured bacterium. RNAcentral's name for it is "partial 16S ribosomal RNA". It matches the Rfam family "Bacterial small subunit ribosomal RNA", at positions 354 to 796 of the family's 1533-position model. The record is from RNAcentral.